CCUACGGGAGGCAGCAGUGGGGGAUAUUGCACAAUGGGGGGAACCCUGAUGCAGCGACGCCGCGUGGGUGAAGAAGCGCCUCGGCGCGUAAAGUCCUGUCAGCAGGGAAGAAAAUGACGGUAUCUGAAGAAGAAGCCCCGGCUAACUCCGUGCCAGCAGCCGCGGUAAUACGGAGGGGGCAAGCGUUAUCCGGAUUUACUGGGCGUAAAGGGGGCGCAGGCGGGGAUGCAAGCCAGGAGUGAAAGCCUGGGGCCCAACCCCAGGACUGCACUUGGAACUGCGUGGCUGGAGUGCGGGAGGGGCAGGCGGAAUUCCUGGUGUAGGGGUGAAAUGCGUAGAGAUUAGGAGGAACACCGGUGGCGAAGGCGACCUGCUGGACUGCAACUGACGUUGAGGCCCGAAAGCGUGGGGAGCAAACAGGAUUAGAUACCCCAGUAGUC
This 440-nucleotide ribosomal RNA is filed under the name uncultured bacterium. RNAcentral's name for it is "partial 16S ribosomal RNA". It matches the Rfam family "Bacterial small subunit ribosomal RNA", at positions 338 to 795 of the family's 1533-position model. The record is from RNAcentral.